GGAAGGGGCAGUUUCAGAUGUUAUUCCCCAGUGUUGUUUUGCUUAUUUAGUUCUAUAUUUGGUAAUGCCUCGAUGAUAGUGUCUAAACAUGGACUCUGAUCCUGAUGAAUGUUUUUGGUUUAGAGUAUUGCUAGAAUUUUUUUUUUUCAGAUCUUGGCAAAUCUGGUCUGUCUGUGACCAAGUUGCCAUGACAAGGAACAACCGGCCCGAAGUAAAAUAUUGAACACCCCAUUGAAUUUCCACUAUCCAUUGAGAAGAAAUCUCUCACUAUCUUCUGUCCACUAGCUUUCAUCACAGUCCCUUUUCAAAGUCC
Molecule: unclassified non-coding RNA, 313 nt
Filed under: Hevea brasiliensis (rubber tree)
Lineage: Eukaryota; Viridiplantae; Streptophyta; Magnoliopsida; Malpighiales; Euphorbiaceae
Source: RNAcentral